GGGGAGGGCUAUGUCCGUGCUCACAGCCCUGGCGUGGGAGGGUGACUGGCGAGAGGACAUGUGUUCAUGGUGCCUGUGUCCUUCAUAACUUGGGUCACAGCAGUUUCCAACAAGAAAGAGAACUGAAACAACCAGGGAAUUCCCUGGCAAGGAGAAGUCCUGCCCAGUCUGCAUCUUUCAGAAGCCAGGAGGAAUGCCCCAGAAAGCCGAUUCAUUACAAUGCUGGCUAAUACCCACAGGAACACUGAACUCCACUGUGUGGGAGCUUGAGGGGCCUGUGCUGCCCAUGCCGAGUGUCCACCAUCUCACACUGCUUCUAACACCUUCAAGCCAUCUCCUGAAUCUGGAAUAGUCAUCAUGAGCUGGAGGCUUCCUCAGAAGAACCCUAAAAUCAAGGGGGAUUCUGGUGCCAAGAAAAAUAGCCCAACCCAGCUUCACAGCUGUGAGCCUCCAAUGCGCCCCAGGAAGCUGCCAUCACCAUGGGUAGCGCGACCUGGCUUGAUUUUGCCAAAACAAAGGAAAAUUCCUCCAGCAAUUUCUGUGAAUUUGUUUUGCAAAACUGAAUUGUCUGCUUUUAAUUCCCCUAUACCAAUUAAAUAAAAAUUGGAAUUUAAAAUCCAGUGAAUGACAGAAACCUCACUUUGGAGUGGAUGACAGACCCCACGCAACCUGGGGUCUGGGGUAGAGAAGUGAGAUGCUGGGAACUUCCAGGGAGUGGCGG
This 721-nucleotide long non-coding RNA is filed under the name Homo sapiens (human). Its description in RNAcentral is "HSALNT0094774". Lineage: Eukaryota; Metazoa; Chordata; Mammalia; Primates; Hominidae. The record is from RNAcentral.